UGAGAGAUGGCCCCCAUCCAGGAAGGCAGCAGGCGCGAAAAUUACCCACUUCCGCGCGGAGAGGUAGUGACUAGUCAUAACAAAUAUAGACCCUAGUGGUUUGUAUUUGGACUGGUGAGAUGUUAUAAAUAUCUCAGUAAUCUAGAUCAGGGCAAGUCUGGUGCCAGCAGCCGCGGUAAUACCAGCCUGAUCAAGCGUAUGCUUUAGUUGCUGCGUUUAAAAAGCUCAUAGUUGGAUCUUCGAAAGCGUGAUCAUCAAAGGGCGUAGUUCGGUUACGGUCGUUCUAUUCCUGGUCACGGUCUUUCACUAUACUUGGAAGACAGUUUAUUCUUAACUGAAUAGACUGAUCGAAAACAAGUGAUAAACCUUGAAAAAAUUAGAGUGCUCAAAGCAAGCUUUGGCCUUGAAUUUUAAAGCAUGGAAUUGAGGAAGAGGACCAUUAUGGUCGUGAACCAUUUUGGUAAUGAUUAAAAGGAACAGACGGGGGCAUACGUAUUGCUCGGGGAGGGGUGAAAUCCGUAGAUCCCAGCAAGACGACCUACUGCGAAAGCAUUUGCCAAGAAUGUUUUCAUUAAUCAAGAACGAAAGUUAGAGUAUUAAAGAGGAUUAGAUACCCUCGUAAUUCUAACCUUAAACGAUACCAUCCUAAUCUUAGCCAAUGUAAUUUAUUACUUGGCUAGGAUUAAACCGGGAAACCAAAGACAUUUGGUUCCGGGGGGAGUAUGGUUGCAAAAUCGAAACUUAAAGGAAUUGACGGAGGGGCACCACCCGGGAGUGGAGCCUGCGGCUUAAUUUGACUCACACGGGGGAACCCUACCAGGUCC
Molecule: ribosomal RNA, 824 nt
Filed under: Waminoa sp. 1 OB-2008
Lineage: Eukaryota; Metazoa; Xenacoelomorpha; Acoela; Haploposthiidae
Description: bacterial SSU rRNA
Rfam family: Eukaryotic small subunit ribosomal RNA
Source: RNAcentral